RNAcentral lists this long non-coding RNA (366 nucleotides) under Gadus morhua (Atlantic cod). Its description in RNAcentral is "lncRNA (ENSGMOG00000024073.1)". Lineage: Eukaryota; Metazoa; Chordata; Actinopteri; Gadiformes; Gadidae. The record is from RNAcentral.
AUGAUAUUAAAGCUAAACGAAUGGCCGUCGUUCCAACAUGUUACAGUAGAAGAUACUCUAGAACUGUACAAGGUUAAAAAGGUAACAUGUAGUUUGUCCCAAGGUGUCUGCCUCCUCACCAAGAGCAAGACCUCCACCUCCUCACCCAGAGCCAGACCUCCACCUCCUGUCAGAAGUCCUCCAGAACAGGCCAGUGCUUUGAGCGAGUGGUCUUCUCAGCUCAAAGGCGAGGCUGAGAGGCUGGGGACCGGAGGCUUGUGGUGCCAGGGUGGACCGGAGACUGAGGCUGGAGACCAGGGGCCUGCAGCACCGGACCAGAGGACCAGGAAUCCAUGGCUGAAGGAGCUGAUGGAGGAGCCGUGCUGA